Molecule: ribosomal RNA, 426 nt
Filed under: uncultured bacterium
Lineage: Bacteria
Description: partial 16S ribosomal RNA
Rfam family: Bacterial small subunit ribosomal RNA
Source: RNAcentral
UGGGGAAUAUUGCACAAUGGGCGCAAGCCUGAUGCAGCCAUGCCGCGUGUGUGAAGAAGGCCUUCGGUUGUAAGCACUUUCAGCGAGGAGGAAGGUGGUGGACUUAAUACGUUCAUCAAUUGACGUUACUCGCAGAAGAAGCACCGGCUAACUCCGUGCCAGCAGCCGCGGUAAUACGGAGGGUGCAAGCGUUAAUCGGAAUUACUGGGCGUAAAGCGCACGCAGGCGGUUUGUUAAGUCAGAUGUGAAAUCCCCGGGCUCAACCUGGGAACUGCAUUUGAAACUGGCAAGCUAGAGUCUCGUAGAGGGGGGUAGAAUUCCAGGUGUAGCGGUGAAAUGCGUAGAGAUCUGGAGGAAUACCGGUGGCGAAGGCGGCCCCCCUGGACGAAGACUGACGCUCAGGUGCGAAAGCGUGGGAGCAAACAG